RNAcentral lists this ribosomal RNA (497 nucleotides) under uncultured bacterium. Its description in RNAcentral is "partial 16S ribosomal RNA". It matches the Rfam family "Bacterial small subunit ribosomal RNA", at positions 28 to 507 of the family's 1533-position model. The record is from RNAcentral.
GAUGAACGCUGGCGGCGUGCCUAAUACAUGCAAGUCGAGCGAACGGACGAGAAGCUUGCUUCUCUGAUGUUAGCGGCGGACGGGUGAGUAACACGUGGAUAACCUACCUAUAAGACUGGGAUAACUUCGGGAAACCGGAGCUAAUACCGGAUGAUAUUUUGAACCGCAUGGUUCAAAAGUGAAAGACGGUCUUGCUGUCACUUAUAGAUGGAUCCGCGCUGCAUUAGCUAGUUGGUAAGGUAACGGCUUACCAAGGCAACGAUGCAUAGCCGACCUGAGAGGAGGAGCAGCCAGACGGGGACGGAGACACGGUCCAGACGACUACGGGAGGCAGCAGUGGGGAAUAUUGCACAAUGGGCGCAAGCCUGAUGCAGCAAUGCAGCGUGGAUGAAGAAGGUCUUCGGGUUGUAAAGUACUUUCAGCGGGGAGGAAGGGAGUAAAGUUAAUACCUGUGCUCAUUGACGGUACCCGCAGAAGAAGCACCGGCUAACUCCGUG